Ctenopharyngodon idella (grass carp) is the source of this 1637-nucleotide long non-coding RNA. RefSeq lists it as uncharacterized. The transcript has 4 exons. The record is from RefSeq and is a predicted model, not a curated record. NCBI's taxonomy places the organism in Eukaryota, Metazoa, Chordata, Actinopteri, Cypriniformes, Xenocyprididae.
CACGACUGCCGCGUCUGCCAUGCUCCAAUCAUCAUCGCACACCGUUCCCCAGCUGCCCUGGUAGUAGAUCUCCACCCGGCCCUGGCACCGGUCCGAAGUCCCAGCCAAACGUAUGGCACCAUCUCCUACAGCAGAGGAAGUCCACGUUGUCCAGCAGGAUUGGGCCGGAGCCCUGGCCGAACUUGGAGCUGCUCCCCACGGCCACGGCCACUCCGCAGUCCAGCUGCCGGCACACCACGUUAGAGUCCACCAUGUCCCAGUCGUCGUCGCACACUGUCCCCCACGUGCCGUUAUGAAGCACCUCCACGCGGCCCUCACACUGGUUUCUGCCGUUCAUCAGCCGCACUUGAGGAAGAAGAACAGCAGGCCGGUGAGGAUCCAGACAGCAGAUCUCCAACAUCUGCGCACACCGUCUGACACACGCUGACCUUUCAUGGCAGAACAGAUCCACCUGAACUCCUGCAGAACAUACAAACACCUUCAGUGCCUCAAAAACAAUCAGGAACCUGCAGAAACAUCUAAACAACCACAGCUAAACCUCCAUCCAACAGCAACAGAAAUCACGUCACCCGCCGAGAAUCACAUCCACUUCCCAUUCACAUGCAGUUUCUGAUCUGCUAAAACCCUGUCUCUCACAAAGCUUAUUGUGCAGCCAAUUAGCUGCUGAGAACAUUUUAUAACCCAAAUCGCUGCAAGCCUGCAGACAAAAUGGUGUGGUUGUGAGGGCCUGAAAAUUAAUCUAGCCACCAAUAUUAUGUUUUUCAAUACUCCAUUCAUGGCUGGAUGCAGCAUGGAUCCACGAGGGAAUAAUGUUGCCUUUUGUGUCGCCUGUGUUUCCCCUCCCUCUCCUUCUCACACUGACAGAUCUCAGGAGCUCGCGAAAAUACCCCCUUAAAGUCAGCGAUAAACCGGGAGAGAACUCGCUUUUGAGUUCAGACUUGAUUUUUAAAAAAAUUCAGAUUCAGUUAAAUUUUGCAUUUUUAAAUUUCUGAUGGAAUUUUUUUUUCUCCUCUAAAUAUCAAAACACAGAAGUGCAACAGGUGAACCUUAAAGUCUAAAAGAUCAACAAUUAAAAGAACUUACUUCUGAGAAAUAAUAAUACAUAGCAAUUAAUAACUACUUCCAUAAUUGUUGCAGAAAAUUAGAAAAAAUAUAUGCUAUUUAUUAUUUUAAUUUUGCAUAACGCAUAAUUUAAAAAAAAGAAAAGAAAAUCAAUAAUUCUUCAUUUUCUCAAUGCAACGCAUUUCCUGUAAAAUGACGCCCUAUAAUGAGAAUGACACAUAAACAUACCUUUGAUGAAAAGCAAUUUUCUUCACAAGCAAAAUUAAGUUUUUUUUCACAAAAAAAGCAACAGUCCACUGUGAAUUCAGAUGGCUUGUAGCUCACAGGACACUUCUUCAACUAAGAGUUAAAGCUUAGCUGGGAAAAGAAAAAAGUGCAUCCGGCUGAAGAGCAACGAGGUCUUUCAUCUCACUAACCUUGUGAGUCUAUAAGUACCUGGCUGCUCUAGUACGUAUUAUGUAAAAAAAAAAAAAAAAAAAAAAUCCAACAGCAUUGUAUGUUAAUGCCCUGACACCUCGUCCCUGCCUGGUUUAUGUGAAUGAAGAGGGAAAAGGGAGGAGGAAAGAAGACAGAAA